CAAACAUGAACUUAGGUUCGGGUAAUUCGGGAGUUUCUUCGACCCGGGAUAAGAAACCUGUGCAGUGUCAGGAUGACCCUUAUGGGUUCAAUGCUGAAGUCGUAGAUGGGAAUUUUUCCAAGCGUCUCCGUCAAUGCAUCCCAAUUGUGCCUGUCUACAGAACACAGAACAUACUGACUACAUACAUCAAUGAAAGAGUUGCUGCUAUAGCCGAGGAUGCCUCUGAAUCAAGACAUCAGAUGCAAGAGAUGUCAAAUGCAAACAACCGUGGACUACCUACCCACCGUGGACUACGUUCUGUCUGGCCCCCGAACACUGAUGUUGACAACAAUAGCAAUCGUGUAACCUUUACUGAUGGUGAAACUCCAGUAUCCAUGGCUGUGGGUGGAAUGAGAAACUACAAGCCUCCGCAGAUGGAGAGCCUCGGACUACUAGAGGAGGAAGUGUGGGACAAGCGACCAAGUGCAAAAAAAAAAGCAGGGAAAAGAGGAGGGAAAAAAUCUCGUCGAAAGCAUCGACAAUAGCA
Long non-coding RNA from Silurus meridionalis, 526 nucleotides. RefSeq lists it as uncharacterized. The record is from RefSeq and is a predicted model, not a curated record. Lineage: Eukaryota; Metazoa; Chordata; Actinopteri; Siluriformes; Siluridae. The transcript has 5 exons.